GUGCCAGCAGCCGCGGUAAUACCAGCCCCCUGAGUGGUAAGGACGAUUAUUUGGCUUAAAGCGUCCGUAGCCGGCUUAGUGAGUCUCUUGUUAAAUCCAAUGAUUCAAUCAUUGAACUGCAAGAGAUACUACUAUGCUAGAGGACGGGAGAGGUCGACGGUAGUCCAAGGGUAGGGGUGAAAUCCUAUAAUCCUUGGAGGACCACCAGUGGCGAAGGCGGUCGACUAGAACGUGCCUGACGGUGAGGGACGAAAGCUGGGGGAGCGAACCGGAUUAGAUACCCGGGUAGUCCCAGCUGUAAACGAUGCGGGCUAGGUGUAGGGGCAAGCUACGUGCUUGCUCUUGUGCCGCAGAGAAAUUGUUAAGCCCGCCGCCUGGGGAGUACGAUCGCAAGAUUGAAACUUAAAGGAAUUGGCGGGGGAGCACCACAAGGGGUGAAGGCUGCGGUUUAAUUGGAGUCAACGCCGGGAACCUUACCGGGGCUGACAGCAGAGUGAAGGCCAGAUUGAAGCUCUUGCCAGACAAGCUGAGAGGAGGUGCAUGGCCGUCGACAGUUCGUGCCGUGAGGUGUACUGUUAAGUCAGGCAACGAACGAGACCCCCACCAUUAGUUGCCAGCGAAUUCCAACGGAAUGUCGGGCACACUAAUGGGACUGCCAUCGAUAAGAUGGAGGAAGGAGGGGGCAACGGCAGGUCAGUAUGCCCCGAAUGCCCCGGGCCACACGCGGCCUGCAAUGGUAGGGACAGAGGGCUCCGACCUCGAGAGAGGAAGGUAAUCCCUAAACCCUAUCUCAGUUGGGAUUGAGGGCUGGAACUCGCCCUCAUGAACAUGGAAUCCUAGUAACCCGCGUGUCAUCAUCGCGCGGUGAAUACGUUCCCGCUUCUUGCACACACCGGCCGUCGUUCCCACCAAGUUGAGUUUAAGAUGAGGCUUAGUCUUCUUGGCUAUGUCAAAUCUGGCUCGAUGAAGAAGGAAAAGUCGUAACAAGGUAAGCC
RNAcentral lists this ribosomal RNA (995 nucleotides) under uncultured archaeon. RNAcentral describes it as "bacterial SSU rRNA". It matches the Rfam family "Archaeal small subunit ribosomal RNA", at positions 455 to 1449 of the family's 1478-position model. The record is from RNAcentral.